CCGAGAGGGGUGCUGGAGUGAUCCGGCUGAGAUGAGACAUUGGUUUCGAACCCUGACACCUGAUCUGGAUAAUGCCAGCGUAGGAACUGUACAG
Molecule: non-coding RNA, 94 nt
Filed under: uncultured Enterocloster sp.
Lineage: Bacteria; Bacillati; Bacillota; Clostridia; Lachnospirales; Lachnospiraceae
Description: TPP riboswitch (THI element)
Rfam family: TPP riboswitch aptamer (THI element)
About the family: Vitamin B(1) in its active form thiamin pyrophosphate (TPP) is an essential coenzyme that is synthesised by coupling of pyrimidine and thiazole moieties in bacteria. The previously detected thiamin-regulatory element, thi box was extended, resulting in a new, highly conserved RNA secondary structure, the THI element, which is widely distributed in eubacteria and also occurs in some archaea.
Source: RNAcentral